Molecule: ribosomal RNA, 319 nt
Filed under: uncultured eukaryote
Lineage: Eukaryota
Description: partial 18S ribosomal RNA
Rfam family: Eukaryotic small subunit ribosomal RNA
Source: RNAcentral
CCCUUAGAUGUUCUGGGCAGCACGCGCGCUACAAUGGUCUUCGCAAACGGAUGCAUUCUCGAAGGAGAAUGCCAAUCUUGGAAUCUAUGCCUUGGUCGGGACAGUUGCUUGCAAUUUUUCGACUCGAACCAGGAAUUCCUUGUAAUCGUGAUUCAUCACAUCACGAUGAAUACGUCCCUGCCCUUUGUACACACCGCCCGUCGCUCCUACCGAACGAAGAGUUAGGUGAAUUGUUUUGAUCGAUAAGAUUUGACUAUGGUCAACUCUCGUUGUGAAAUUCUGUGAAUCUGACUGUUUAGAGGAAGGAAAAGUCGUAACA